AUGUGUGUUAUAGAUGGAUCUGAGAACGCUGUCUGGGCUUGGUGCCAAGGGCUGGUAUUUCACAGCAGCGACCGCCUCACAGACGAGCUGUGGGAAGCAGGAGGGAGACUCUCUCUUAGGGUGCCACUACUAUGGAGACACAGCUGGGCUGAACAAGAUUUGCUUCAAACGACAACAAGAGAGACAGAAAGUAUCUGGUUCAACCGCUGCCCGAGCAGGCAGGCACCAGAAGAGCUAGCAGCCAAUCCGGCCAUGCUCGAAGCCAGCUCUGCAGCUCAGCCAAUCAGUGACAUCACUGAGGACUGUUUUUCUUCAAUCCCUAAGGAUUCAGCUCCUUACGUGGGUUUUGCUGGAGGUCAUGGGGCAGCACCAGGAGGUCUAAAUCAUGCUUUCUUUAGCUUGCCCAUGGUGAUGUGA
Molecule: long non-coding RNA, 417 nt
Filed under: Papio anubis (olive baboon)
Lineage: Eukaryota; Metazoa; Chordata; Mammalia; Primates; Cercopithecidae
Description: lncRNA (ENSPANG00000036207.2)
Source: RNAcentral